CUCGUCGACUUGGCCACGGGGCUCAUGACCUUCACGGCCAACGGCAAAGAGAUCAACACCUUCUUCCAGGUGGAGCCCAACACGAAGCUGUUCCCGGCCGUGUUCGUGCUGCCCACCACCCAAAACGUGCUCCAGUUCGAGCUGGGAAAGCUCAAGAACAUCAUGCCCA
Neopelma chrysocephalum (saffron-crested tyrant-manakin) is the source of this 169-nucleotide long non-coding RNA. RefSeq lists it as uncharacterized. The record is from RefSeq and is a predicted model, not a curated record. The transcript is spliced from 3 exons. NCBI's taxonomy places the organism in Eukaryota, Metazoa, Chordata, Aves, Passeriformes, Pipridae.